Molecule: ribosomal RNA, 402 nt
Filed under: uncultured Moheibacter sp.
Lineage: Bacteria; Pseudomonadati; Bacteroidota; Flavobacteriia; Flavobacteriales; Weeksellaceae
Description: bacterial SSU rRNA
Rfam family: Bacterial small subunit ribosomal RNA
Source: RNAcentral
CCUACGGGUGGCAGCAGUGAGGAAUAUUGGUCAAUGGACGAGAGUCUGAACCAGCCAAGUAGCGUGCAGGAUGACUGCCCUAUGGGUUGUAAACUGCUUUUAUGCGGGGAUAAAGUGAGUUACGUGUAACUUAUUGCAGGUACCGCAUGAAUAAGGACCGGCUAAUUCCGUGCCAGCAGCCGCGGUAAUACGGAAGGUCCAGGCGUUAUCCGGAUUUAUUGGGUUUAAAGGGAGCGUAGGCCGUUUUUUAAGCGUGUUGUGAAAUGUACCGGCUCAACCGGUGAUGUGCAGCGCGAACUGGAAGACUUGAGUGCGUAGUAAGCAGGCGGAAUUCGUGGUGUAGCGGUGAAAUGCUUAGAUAUCACGAAGAACUCCGAUAGCGCAGGCAGCUUGCUGUAUCGC